AACAACUUUGCUUCUCUGAUGUAUUACAAAUUCUCAAUACUUUUUGAGAUAUUAGGAAAAAAUUUUCGGCCCCUCUAGAUCCCUUAUUUUAGGGGCCAGCCCCUUUUCCAAGAUAACAUUUGAAAGAUCUUUUAAUUCUGCACUACUUUUGUUCUAUAUAAUAUAACAAAAUAUUUCCAAUUUUAAAGAUAAAAAGGAAAAUAUGUCUAAAUUUUCGCUCUUUUAGGCGUUCUAAUUUUUGACCCCUAUAUAGCGCCAUUUUGAAUACAGAAAUCGAAAAACAAAAAGCGAUGUGCACAACUUCAAUUCUUCUAUUAUUUAAAUUCGGUAGAAUUUCUGCUCCAGCUUUUGUAGUCUCUGAGCCUUUGUCUGGAAAUGAAGCCUCCUAAAUUUUCAUUUAAAGGGAAAUAACUCAAAAGCGGAAGUGACUUUUUGAAAUGU
Molecule: long non-coding RNA, 441 nt
Organism: Saccostrea echinata
Lineage: Eukaryota; Metazoa; Mollusca; Bivalvia; Ostreida; Ostreidae
Exons: 2
Source: RefSeq, a predicted model, not a curated record